RNAcentral lists this ribosomal RNA (253 nucleotides) under uncultured Eubacteriales bacterium. Its description in RNAcentral is "uncultured Clostridiales bacterium partial 16S ribosomal RNA". It matches the Rfam family "Bacterial small subunit ribosomal RNA", at positions 524 to 776 of the family's 1533-position model. Lineage: Bacteria; Bacillati; Bacillota; Clostridia; Eubacteriales. The record is from RNAcentral.
UACGUAGGGGGCAAGCGUUAUCCGGAUUUACUGGGUGUAAAGGGAGCGUAGACGGCGGGGCAAGUCUGGAGUGAAAGGCCGGGGCCCAACCCCGGGACCGCUCUGGAAACUGCCCGGCUGGAGUGCGGGAGAGGUAAGCGGAAUUCCUAGUGUAGCGGUGAAAUGCGUAGAGAUUAGGAAGAACACCAGUGGCGAAGGCGACUUACUGGACUGUAACUGACGCUGAGGCAUGAGAGCAUGGGGAGCAAACAGG